UGGGGAAUAUUGGACAAUGGAGGGAACUCUGAUCCAGCAAUUCUGUGUGUGUGAAGAAGGUUUUAGGACUGUAAAACACUUUUAGUAGGGAAGAAAAAAAUGACGGUACCUACAGAAGAAGCAACGGCUAAAUACGUGCCAGCAGCCGCGGUAAUACGUAUGUUGCGAGCGUUAUCCGGAAUUAUUGGGCUUAAAGGGCAUCUAGGCGGUAAGACAAGUUGAAGGUGAAAACCUGUGGCUCAACCAUAGGCUUGCCUACAAAACUGUUUAACUAGAGUACUGGAAAGGUGGGUGGAACUACACGAGUAGAGGUGAAAUUCGUAGAUAUGUGUAGGAAUGCCGAUGAUGAAGAUAGCUCACUGGACAGAAACUGACGCUGAAGUGCGAAAGCUAGGGGAGCAAACAGG
Molecule: ribosomal RNA, 407 nt
Filed under: Verrucomicrobiota bacterium
Lineage: Bacteria; Pseudomonadati; Verrucomicrobiota
Description: Verrucomicrobia bacterium partial 16S ribosomal RNA
Rfam family: Bacterial small subunit ribosomal RNA
Source: RNAcentral